UUUAAAGGUACAAUAUUUUAUUGUUUUACAAGUAAUGCAGGGUAGCAUGAGCAGCAGCAACUCCCUGGCCGUCGCAAAAGCAUACAGUGGAAGCUUAAAGAAAGUGUCAGCAAUAACUCAAAUGUCAUCCAAAGGAUGAAUCUACAUUUACAAUUCUGUUGAUAGCUGAUUAGUACAAAGGAUUUCAAAAUCAGAACGCAAAGUUCAGAUGUGUAAAAGUUAUACAUUACAUUGCAUCCCAGUAGCCGUAGCCUUGUGGUGGGGUUCCUUUAGCAGGUUGAGAGUUUUUAGCAGGUGGGGAUAUGCUUCUCCGCUAUCAAAAAGGUAUAACCUCCCCAGGGGUGUGGCAGGAUUGGGAGUAGACAGUUCUGCCAUUCUCAUAAACCGAUUUGUAACUAUAUUGGGAUGAGAACUGACUGUUCAACGAUGCUGCCUUGAACGCUGCUGGAGCUGACACAUUAGGUGCUUUCAUUGUCACCAUCAGACACAAAAUCCUGAGAAACAUCACUGCUGCUAAAAUCCAUGUUGCUUGAGGAGUUGGCCCUCCUGUUCAAGGCUGUGCUCCUGCCGAGGCAAGGGCGCCUGUCGCUCCUGCCGAGGCAAGGGCGCCUGUCGCUCCUGCCGAGGCAAGGGCGCCUGUCGCUCCUGCCGAGGCAAGGGCGCCUGUCGCUCCUGCCGAGGCAAGGGCGCCUGUCGCUCCUGCCGAGGCAAGGGCGCCUGUCGCUCCUGCCGAGGCAAGGGCGCCUGUCGCUCCUGCCGAGGCAAGGGCGCCUGUCGCUCCUGCCGAGGCAAGGGCGCCUGUCGCUCCUGCCGAGGCAAGGGCGCCUGUCGCUCCUGCCGAGGCAAGGGCGCCUGUCGCUCCUGCCGAGGCAAGGGCGCCUGUCGCUCCUGCCGAGGCAAGGGCGCCUGUCGCUUCUGCCGAGGCAAGGGCGCCUGUCGCUUCUGCCGAAGCAUUUGAACCAGAUUCCGCACUUGAUGAGGCAAAGUGGCCGGUUGCUUCACAUAAGGUAUUUGGGCCAGCCGUGACGCUUGCUGAGGCAUUUCGGGUUGCUGCUGCUGCUUCACCCAAGGUAUUUGGGCCUGCCGUGACACCUGAUGAAACAUUGUGGCCAGGUGCUUCACCUAAGGUAUUUGGGCCAGUUGACACACUUGCCGAGGCAUUGUGGGUGGCACUGUGGCCAGUUGCUUCUGCUGCCGAGGCUCCGUGGCCAGUUGCUUCCGAGGAACCGUGGCCAGUUGCUUCACCUAAGGUAUUUGGCCCAGCCGUAACGCUUGCUGAGGCAUUUCGGGUUGCUGCUGCUGCUGCUUCACCCAAGGCAUUUGGGCCCGCCCUGACACCUGAUGAAGCAUUGUGGCCAGAUGAUUCACCUAAGGUAUUUGGGCCAGUUACCACACUUGCCGUGGCAUUAUGUGUGGCCGCUUGCGCUGCCGAGGCAUUACGGGGGGCCGCUUGCGAGGCACUGUGGCCAGUUGCUUCACCUAAAGUAUUUGGGCCAGUCGUGGCACUUGCUGAGGCAUUGUGGGUGGCUGCUUCGGUACGGGAUCCAGUUGCUCCACCUAAAGUAUUUGGGCCAGUCGUGGUUCCUUUUAAUUUAUUUUGGGGAAUAUAUCUAUAGUUACCUGCGAAAUAAAAGAAAGUUACAAAUCGUAAAAUGCCAGCAUUUGAAGUUCUGGGAUUUAUACAGUGUUACUUUUACUGAAUUAAAAUGUGUAGAACAAAACACACCUUUAGGUGGAGGAUAACAGGUUAUCCCUCCAAUUAGCAGGCAACAAAUCCAAGAAAGUCUAAAGAAAAAGAAAAACAUCCUAGUCAGUUAAAUACAGCUACCUGUAAAACAUGGAAGACAAGGGAAACAAACUAGAGCCAUACAACUUACCUCAAAGACAUUUCAAAACUCACAGCCAUUUUUCUCAUCAAAACCUCAGUAUUCAGAACUAAUGGUAGCCAGAAGCCUUACCAGGAGAUCCCUGAUAUUGUAUCUGAUUGUCUUUCUUGCUGCGCCUUACAAAGGAAUCCUAGACCCUUCUAAUCUGGCUGGUUAAUUAGGUACAUCUGCAAGCCACUGAACAUCAUUUCCAUUGGUCCAAUUUCCCAAUUGAGAUUAGGGGAGCUUGAUUUCAUUCAGC
Molecule: long non-coding RNA, 2127 nt
Organism: Salmo trutta (river trout)
Lineage: Eukaryota; Metazoa; Chordata; Actinopteri; Salmoniformes; Salmonidae
Source: Ensembl